GCUCAAAGCUAAAGCAAAUUUCCUCCUCCUUUGGCGUUGACUUUUCUACUCAUGGAAUUUGAUCAGUCUCACAAAUCCAGGUAACAUUUGAUUUCCAGAUCCUUAAGUAAUAGCUUCUCCUUUUGGCAAUCAAAUCUUGCACCACAUUGAGUUCUCUUGAGAUAUCUUCUUCAAAAUGAUUGCCAAAUUCAGUCCUCAAUCCCUUAUGCUCAUAUUUCAGCCAUGAACAAACCUUUAUCAUCAUGCCCUCUUUCUUCACCCAAACUUUCAAUCUUCUUCCUAACCCUGUUUGUCAUUCUCUUGAUUUUCCUCCAAAUCCGGUCCCUAAAUACACCUCCCAUCCCCUCAUUUCCGUUGGCACGACAGUGGGAGAAAAUAGUCACCAACUCCUGCCUUCCUACUUUAAAUGACACUGCCGAUAAACUCCGAGAGUCCAUCACCUUUCUUCCUCUAAAGGAUCUGAGGUAUGCCAAUGUGGCCAUGAAAGGUCACACAUGGUUCAUGAGCUCCAUGUAUGACUCUCAUGAAGAGGGUGAGGUGCAGUACCAGCAGUUCCCAUCAAAGGCCUCUAACGGCCGAGUUCUAUGUCUCAAGGGCCGGGAUGAACGAGAUGGCUCCUGGAACUCGUAUGCCCUUGCAUGGCCGGAUGCCCUGCCUGAAAAUGCCACACUGAUGAAAGGCAUCACCUUUGUGUCAUACAAUCACUAUGACUACUACAACAUAUGGCACGGCCUGUCGGCCAUGAUGCCAUUUGUUGCAUGGCAUAUAAAGAGCCAAUGUGCCGCGCCCAGGAGGUGGAUUCUAUACCACUGGGGCGAACUGAGGACAAAUAUGGCACCGUGGGUGGAGACCAUGUUGGAAGCCACCUUUGGUGCACCACUUGAUAUCGGAAAAUUCGAUGAUAUUUACAGCCACCAUAACAGGUCCAGUGACUAUGAUGAUGAUGAUGCAACUUGCUUAGAGGAGGCAGUUGUAAUGAGGCACAAUGAAGGCGGAAUGUCGAGGGCGAAGAGAAUGGAGGUGUAUGAUCUGAUGAGGUGCAAAUCCAGGAUGUACUGCAAUGUGAGUUCCAGUUCCAGUUCCAAGCAGCAGCAGCAGCAGGGGUUCCACAUUGGGAUGACCUUGCUGAUGAGAAACGGCCCUCGAUCCUUCAAGAAUGCAUCGGCAGUGAUCAGUGUCUUUGAGAAGGAGUGCCGCAAGGUGCAGGGCUGCCGGUUGAUGGUGGCCUAUCCCCACAACCUCACCUUCUGCGAUCAGGUGAAGCUUAUGAGCUCAACAGACAUUCUUGUAUCGUCGCACGGUGCGCAGCUGAGCAACAUGAUCCUGAUGGACAGGGAUAGCAGCGUUAUGGAAUUCUUCCCCAAGGGGUGGCUGGAACUUGCGGGGGUGGGGCAGUACGUGCACCACUGGCUUGCCAGCUGGUCUGGGAUGGUGCAUGAGGGUGCCUGGCGAGACCCCGAGGGGGAGCACUGCCCCUUCCCGGACAAGGACCGGCGGUGCAUGUCUGUGUACAAGAAUGGUAAGAUCGGACACAAUGAAACUUACUUCUCUGAGUGGGCAAAAAGAGUGCUGAAUGGAGUGGAGCUGAGGAAGAAGAGGGGACUAGCGGCACUGCAAAACAGUCCUGUUUCUGGCCUCUGUGGCUGCAACUGAUGAUUUGUUAAUGAUGGAUGAAUCAAAACCGUUGAUUGUGUGGGGUCAGCAGCACCGUUAAUGGUCUGGAUCUACUUACUUGCCCCAGAGUUUCUGGACUGCCUGACUGACUGAUUACGACUGACACUUUUUUGGGCAUUUUCUGCAUUCUCCGUGGCACAUGGCCAACAUUGAAUUUAGCAAUGCCUAUCACCUUCAUACUAAUGGCCAAACUGAGGUAGUUAGCCGUUCUUUGGGAAAUUUGUUUCGUUGUUUGUUUAGGGAUAACUUGAAGACUUGGGAUCUAAAAUCAUGUAUUAUCGAGUUUUCUCAUAAUUAGGCUUUGAAUCGUAGCACAGAUUUCUCCCCUUUUGUGGUGGUUUAUGGCUUCGUGCCCCAUGCUCCAUUGUUCUACUCAAUUUUCCAUCCACCCUUCCUGCUAAUAAAUGUGUCGUCGAUCUCAUCAAGAAGAUCCAACAGAUUCAUGCUACAACACAUGCCCGCUUGAAAGCUUCAAACUCUAAGUAUAAAGAUGUUGCUGAUGAAAAGUGACACAAUAUUAAGUUUGAAGUUGGUAAUUUUGUUUGGGCUAUCCUUGCUAAGGACCGCUUUCAUGCCCAAAAGAAUAGUAAGUUGGCAUCUCGAAAAAUAAACUAUUGAAAUCACGGAGAAAAUUAAUCCUUCGCCUUAUGGAUCAUAUUUGCAUCUCUGACAUAUUCAAUUUUAAGCACCUAGUCCCUUACUACGGCGAUAACUCCGAUGGAGAUGAAGUUGUGUUCGAUUCGAGGGUGAAUCGUUUUGAAGAGAAGGAUAAUGAUGAAGAUGUCACUCAAUACUUGAAAAAGAUCGAUCCAAUUAUUUAGUACUUUAAUCUUUUAUUUUAUUAUAGACCCAAAUAUAUUGGAUUUUUGUUAUUGGCCUUAUUUGCUUUUCCCUUAGUAUUUAUAGUUGGAAGAUCGAUAAUAGUUUAUCCCAUUUGAGUCAAAAUUCUUCGUUAAUGUAUGUGCUUCCCUCCAUCAUUUUGCAAUCAAGGAGCAGAUAGGAUUUGUUUCUUUAGGGGCUUUAGUGUAUUGUUUGUUGAGAUGAAGUUGGAUGCUGUAAAUUAUCCACAACUUUCUUGUAAAUUAAUU
This is an RNA transcript of Andrographis paniculata, 2762 nucleotides long. RefSeq lists it as uncharacterized. The record is from RefSeq and is a predicted model, not a curated record. Lineage: Eukaryota; Viridiplantae; Streptophyta; Magnoliopsida; Lamiales; Acanthaceae. The transcript has 4 exons.